Molecule: ribosomal RNA, 253 nt
Filed under: uncultured bacterium
Lineage: Bacteria
Description: partial 16S ribosomal RNA
Rfam family: Bacterial small subunit ribosomal RNA
Source: RNAcentral
UACAGAGGGGGCAAGCGUUGUUCGGAAUUACUGGGCGUAAAGGGCGCGUAGGCGGCCUGCUAAGUCGAACGUGAAAUCCCUGGGCUCAACCCAGGAACUGCGUCCGAUACUGGUUGGCUUGAAUCCGGGAGAGGGAUGUGGAAUUCCAGGUGUAGCGGUGAAAUGCGCAGAUAUCAGGAGGAACACCGGUGGCGAAGGCGGGUCUCUGGGCCGAAAUUGACGCUGAGGAGCGAAAGCGUGGGGAGCGAACAGG